Molecule: long non-coding RNA, 1489 nt
Filed under: Arabidopsis thaliana (thale cress)
Lineage: Eukaryota; Viridiplantae; Streptophyta; Magnoliopsida; Brassicales; Brassicaceae
Description: long non-coding RNA (ATHA_LNC000040)
Source: RNAcentral
CACUCCUUGGUGCAACCAAUUUUUGUAUCCUCGAGCUCACGUGACUGUUCUCUUUGGACUCUUUCUUAGCAUUAAACUUUGAUCAGGAAAUGAAAACAAAAACAAAAACAAACCAAGAUUAGUGCGAACAUGUUUAUUCAUUCUCUGUUCAGUUAUCUUGUCUUCUUUUGCUAGAGCGUAUAGCCCAAUAAUAGGAUGUUUAAGUUGUUCUUUCUUUAUCGGUUAUACUUUAAAUAAAUAUAAAUUUCACUAAAGAAAGCAAAUGGACGGAUUUGAGAAAUUAAAAAAAUAGGUGAUCGUCACCUUUCAGUGAUCAAACUUUCGGUGCAUAUGUUUGUUCUUGAGUGAUUUUCUUUAUCACCUUUUAUAUUUCCAUUAAUAUUUUAAUUUACCAAAAGCUUUGCGGUGAUGUGAUCAAACACAAAAAUCACAAGACUUAUGCCGAGUAUCUUAUUCAAGAUAACACCAAACCUAUUUGAGCAUAUAUUAUACGCAAGAAUAAUAUUUCUAAGAAUUUAUUCAUCAAUUUAUACCUUUUAAAAAUAUUGUUUUGGGUUUAAAAUAUAAAAGAAAAGAAAAAGCUGAUUGCGACGCAACUUUAAUCAAAACCAAACAGAAAGAAAAAGAAGCAUAAACAGAGAAAGUAAGGUGAAGAAAAAGCAUAGCAGAAGCUAGGAAAUUCAUUCCUUCUUCCCCCUUCUAAUGAUUCUCUUCAUUGUUCCCAAAAAAAGUCUUCAAAUUUCACUUUGUUUUUAUUCAUUCAUAAUGUUUAAUACCAAAAUUUAUACCAGCCAAAAUCUACUUUACCAAAAAGUUUAAGGUUUUUGAUAUUGUCUUUUUAGGUUCGGAACAAGCUAAUAAUAACAUAAAUAAAAGGGAUGGAUCACCCACCUGGGCCACUCUAAAGUCUAAACCAAUUGAAGUAACCAUUUUAAACACACAAAAUUAUGUUGGUGGGCUUUUAGCUCUUUAAAAAUCCACACAUAUGUUAGUGGGCUUUAGCUCGUGGACCAGAUACGGUUACAUGGUUACAAAAGGCCAAACCCAAAUCGGAAAACAUGCCGGAAAAUACGAUCUGCACUCAUUUUGACCAGGUAAAAAUAUGGUUGGAAACGCGUAAAUGAAUCAAAGCCACACAAUGAAAUAAAAAUUCAACGGUGAGGUUCCUACAUUAUUUCUGUAAUUUCUGUUUUUUUUGUGUGAACAAACGGAUUUCUAAUUUUAAAUUUACCUAAAAAUAGCUUAACUCCAUCCGGUAUAAAUCCCCAAAAGCAUCAUCCAAUUAUCCUCAGACCUGCGAGAAACAAAAAAUAAUAAAAGUAAACAAAACUACCAAAAAAAAAAACAGAAAAAAACCUUUCAGGUCUCAACUAGCAAUGGAGAUGAAGAAGAUUGCCUGCGGAGUCGUUUUCGCUGCUGCUUCCAUGACCGCCGUCAUGGCUGCAGAGGUCGGAGCACCUGCACCAGGACCCGCCGCAAGUGGAGCCUC